AGGGGGGAGGGGGGAAGAAGAGGAGGAUGGCAUGGGGUGACGCUCGACAAUGUGACGACCAAAAUUGAAGGAAGAGUUAGAGGCAGGAGUGGUGGAUGUGAUAGUGGCGACAAUAGAGGGAGGAGUAGAAUAGUAGGAGGAAUAAGAAAAACAAGAUAAUUAGAAAAUAAGAACAAAGAAAAAAAAAGAAAAACAGGUUGGAGAAAGAAUACUAAUUAACAUUAUUGAAAGAUUUGACUUAGAAACCAUAAUUUACCUAUAGGUACACAAAUAUUUACCCACAAAUUUAUGAUCGUCAUUAAUUAUCAAACAAAUUUUUAUCCUUCAAUAAAAUUUAUUGAUAAUUAAUUUACUAUUGAAUUUUUAGAUAUUGGUAAACUCAUCAAUAAACUUGAUUUAUUAACAAAAUUUUGUUAUUAUCGUGUUAGUAAGUAAUACGUGAU
Molecule: long non-coding RNA, 443 nt
Filed under: Vigna radiata
Lineage: Eukaryota; Viridiplantae; Streptophyta; Magnoliopsida; Fabales; Fabaceae
Description: long non-coding RNA (VRAD_LNC013121)
Source: RNAcentral